This 92-nucleotide ribosomal RNA is filed under the name uncultured bacterium. RNAcentral's name for it is "partial 16S ribosomal RNA". It matches the Rfam family "Bacterial small subunit ribosomal RNA", at positions 264 to 353 of the family's 1533-position model. The record is from RNAcentral.
CUCACCAAGGCGACGAUCCCUAGCUGGUCUGAGAGGAUGACCAGCCACACUGGAACUGAGACACGGCCCAGACUCCUACGGGAGGCAGCAUG